CCGGCAUUAUCAGCCGUCGCUUAGAUCUAUGGAGACAACAGGAAGGAAAGAGACCUUCCUCGUCACACUUGGGCCGCAGGAGAACAGGCAGCGGCCCAGGAGGAUCCAGGGUCCUGAUGGUGGUUGAGAAGCUGGUUCUUAGUGAUCACUCAGAAACGUCGGCCUGGCCUUGUGGGGUCAGACCUUGCAUCUCAGUCAGCCCAGGGAGAAGAAGAAGAUGGUCCACACCCAAGUGCAGGGAACAUCGUGGCAGCCAGCUGGGUGCCUGCGUCCAGGCAAGGACACCUCCCGCAUCAGGGAAACACACGUUUCUGGAGUGAGGAGGCUGAAGGCAGGGCCCAGAGGAGAGCCGAGCCAUGGAAGGAGGCGUGUGCAUGGAUGGUGAGCUAGAGCAGGUGCAGGUGCCUCAGGGAGGAUGUGUGGGAUGAACUGACUCAGGGAAACCAUAAGAAAUGCUUUCACCAAACAGGAGAAACCUGAAGGUCUGGAUCCAGAGCCUCAGAUCUUACACUGGCAGCACACAGGGACACAGCAGCUGGACUGGCAGCAGCGGGGCUUGCAGCAGCUGGACUGGCAGCAGGAUGAUCCACAGCCUGAGGAGCAGCAACAGGGCUUACAGCAACUGCACUGGGAGCAGCC
This 639-nucleotide long non-coding RNA is filed under the name Pan troglodytes (chimpanzee). RNAcentral describes it as "long non-coding RNA NONPTRT002489". Lineage: Eukaryota; Metazoa; Chordata; Mammalia; Primates; Hominidae. The record is from RNAcentral.